Small nucleolar RNA from Crocodylus porosus (Australian saltwater crocodile), 132 nucleotides. Lineage: Eukaryota; Metazoa; Chordata; Crocodylia; Crocodylidae. The record is from Ensembl.
AUGCACAUUUCAUUGACUUGCUUUCAGAAUAGUGAUGAGCAGUGUUAUUUCUGAUGUGCUAAAAAAACUAUUGGAGGUUAAUUAGCAACAUGACUAUAUGUAGUUAUUGCUGCCAGUCCCCUUCAGACAAAU